RNAcentral lists this ribosomal RNA (231 nucleotides) under uncultured bacterium. RNAcentral describes it as "partial 16S ribosomal RNA". It matches the Rfam family "Bacterial small subunit ribosomal RNA", at positions 100 to 339 of the family's 1533-position model. The record is from RNAcentral.
GCACGGGUGAGUAACACGUAGGUAACCUGCCUUACAGUGGGGGAUAACCAGAAGAAAUUCUGGCUAAUACCGCAUACGAAAGUAAUUUGAAAGGAUGCUUCGGCAUUCGCUGUUAGAUGGGCCUGCGUUACAUUAGCUUGUUGGUGGGGUAAUGGCCUACCAAGGCGACGAUGUAUAGCUGGUCUGAGAGGAUGAUCAGCCACACUGGAACUGAGACACGGUCCAGACUCC